GCUACNCACGUGCUACAAUGGGAAGUACAACGAGUUGCGAAGUCGCGAGGCUAAGCUAAUCUCUUAAAGCUUCUCUCAGUUCGGAUUGCAGGCUGCAACUCGCCUGCAUGAAGCCGGAAUCGCUAGUAAUCGCGGAUCAGCACGCCGCGGUGAAUACGUUCCCGGGCCUUGUACACACCGCCCGUCACACCACGAGAGUUUGUAACACCCGAAGUCGGUGAGGUAACCUUUUUGGAGCCAGCCGCCUAAGGUGGGAUAGAUGAUUGGGGUGAAGUCGUAACAAGGUAGCCGUAUCGGAAGGUGCGGUUG
Molecule: ribosomal RNA, 309 nt
Filed under: Enterococcus faecalis
Lineage: Bacteria; Bacillati; Bacillota; Bacilli; Lactobacillales; Enterococcaceae
Description: bacterial SSU rRNA
Rfam family: Bacterial small subunit ribosomal RNA
Source: RNAcentral